RNAcentral lists this ribosomal RNA (365 nucleotides) under uncultured eukaryote. RNAcentral's name for it is "partial 18S ribosomal RNA". It matches the Rfam family "Eukaryotic small subunit ribosomal RNA", at positions 155 to 549 of the family's 1831-position model. The record is from RNAcentral.
AUUCUAAAGCUAAUACAUGCUGAUACCCUGUGCGUAGUAUUUAUUAAAAAAAUGCCAACGGGAAAAAUCCUGUGAAGAAAUCAUAAUAACUUACCAAACUUCUUCGAAAGUGAAGCAUUCAAGUUUCUGCCCUAUCACCUUUCGAUGGUAGUGUAUUGAACUACCAUGGCAAUGACGGGUGACGGAAAAUUAGGGUUCAAUUCCGGAAAGGGAGCCUGAAAAACGGCUACCACAUCUAAGGAAGGCAGCAGGCGCGCAAAUUACCCAAUCCUAAUUCAGGGAGGUAGUGACAAGAAAUAACACCGCGGGGCUUCUGUCUCGUGAUUGGAAUGAAAUAAGUGUUAAAUACUUUUCAAUUAUCAACU